CACGUAGGGUGCGAGCGUUGUCCGGAAUUAUUGGGCGUAAAGAGCUCGUAGGCGGUCUGUCACGUCGGCUGUGAAAUCCCGAGGCUCAACCUCGGGUCUGCAGUCGAUACGGGCAAACUAGAGUACUGCAGGGAGACUGGAAUUCCUGGUGUAGCGGUGAAAUGCGCAGAUAUCAGGAGGAACACCGGUGGCGAAGGCGGGUCUCUGGGCAGUAACUGACGCUGAGGAGCGAAAGCAUGGGAGCGAACAGG
This 251-nucleotide ribosomal RNA is filed under the name uncultured bacterium. Its description in RNAcentral is "partial 16S ribosomal RNA". It matches the Rfam family "Bacterial small subunit ribosomal RNA", at positions 524 to 776 of the family's 1533-position model. The record is from RNAcentral.